Molecule: transfer RNA, 61 nt
Filed under: Pseudoniphargus sorbasiensis
Lineage: Eukaryota; Metazoa; Arthropoda; Malacostraca; Amphipoda; Allocrangonyctidae
Description: tRNA-Ala
Source: RNAcentral
AGGAUUAUAGUUUAUCUAAAAACAUUUAGCUUGCAACUAAAAAAUACUCUAGUUAACCCUU